Molecule: long non-coding RNA, 324 nt
Organism: Seriola dumerili (greater amberjack)
Lineage: Eukaryota; Metazoa; Chordata; Actinopteri; Carangiformes; Carangidae
Exons: 3
Source: RefSeq, a predicted model, not a curated record
ACAACAACGUUUCAGUUUUGAGUUGUUGAACUGGAAGGUUUGAAUCUACUGUUAAACCCAGCAGCUGGUCUCCAGCUCACUGAGCGACAUCAUGGGCGGUGAACAGUCUGGAAGGAGUCACAGAUAAACUCACCACCUGAAACAUGGGGACAGUUCUCCUAAUGGUGAUGAAGAUAUGAACAAACAAUAAACAAUAAAAACUGUAACAAUGAACUUCCCAGGAGCUGGGAGAGAGAGGCCACACCCACAUACAAGAGGGGAGGGGGACUAGAGCUGAGACAGAACCAAUGAUGUGGAGGCUGACAGUCAUGUGAUGUUUCAACA